UCAGGCUUUAUGUCUGCCUUGAUGUCUAAAUUGACAGGUUCACAAAUUAAAUAAAACUUUAAACACCAAACUGAAUGUAUUAAAAUAUCUUGGCAGGACUGACUUAUAACUUUGGGAAAAAAGUUGAAGAAAAUGGCUGGAGUUUUUGGACCCGAACAACCUGCAAAUGCGGAUAUUCAGGCUCUUAUCAAUAAUGAAAAUGUCCAAAACGCAGUGGUAGCACAAGCUGGACCAAUAGAAAUGUACAUCGCUAUCGUCUUCAUUGUUCAGAAUUUGAUAGGAGGAACAACCUGGGUUGUAAAGGUGCAAAUUGGAGAGGGAGAAAACGAUUACCUUCACCUGAUGAUCAAUCAAAUCGUUGAUAUUGAUGCACAACCGCAGCUGGGAGGUCUACAACCAGGUCAUACUGCCAAUGAUCCGCUUGUACCGUUCUAAAUAGUCAACGACUUUUAUUGAAGACAUGACAAUAGAUACAUAAUUUUUACUUUUGAAUGGACACUUUAUUAAUCAUAAAAAUAAGAUAAGACAACUUUUUUUGUCCUAAUCAGUGAAGAGAAUUGUUAUUUUAAAUUGCAAAGUAUGUCAUGUGAUAAGAAAGAAUAAACAUAACAUGUUUACAGAA
Long non-coding RNA from Magallana angulata, 622 nucleotides. RefSeq lists it as uncharacterized. The transcript has 2 exons. The record is from RefSeq and is a predicted model, not a curated record. Lineage: Eukaryota; Metazoa; Mollusca; Bivalvia; Ostreida; Ostreidae.